RNAcentral lists this long non-coding RNA (328 nucleotides) under Mytilus galloprovincialis (Mediterranean mussel). Lineage: Eukaryota; Metazoa; Mollusca; Bivalvia; Mytilida; Mytilidae. The record is from RNAcentral.
CUGGUUUGUCAUGAUUGUUCUCAAAUUUAACCAUGCCUAAAGUGGCAACUGGUUUACUAUCACAUAGAACAUUAGUACGCUCAAAAUAUGGUUUUAACAUAUUAAUAUGACACACUCUAUUUUGUUUGCGCCGACCUGGAGUUUUUACAAUAUAAUUCAAAUCAUUAAUUUUACUCUCUAUUGUAUAAGGACCACAAUAUUUAGCCUGUAAAGGAUGUCCAGGGACUGGCAAAAAUACAAGUACCCUAUCACCAGGCUCAAAAACUCUGUCCCUGGCAUCUUUAUCAUACCAUAUUUUCAUCUUGUUCUGUACAUUUUUUAAGUUUUU